GCGCUGGUGGUGAAAUUGGCAGACACGCCAUCUUGAGGGGGUGGUGCCUUACGGCUUGCAGGUUCAAGUCCUGUCCAGCGCA
This 82-nucleotide transfer RNA is filed under the name Anaerolineae bacterium. RNAcentral's name for it is "tRNA-Leu". It matches the Rfam family "tRNA". Rfam says of the family: Transfer RNA (tRNA) molecules are approximately 80 nucleotides in length. Their secondary structure includes four short double-helical elements and three loops (D, anti-codon, and T loops). The record is from RNAcentral. Lineage: Bacteria; Bacillati; Chloroflexota; Anaerolineae.